GGGGGAGGCGGGAAAGCCUUUACGGCGAGGGAUGGGCCCGCGGCCUGUUAGCUCGUUGGUGGGGUAACGGCCCACCAAGGCGAUUAUGGGUAGCUGGGUUGAGAGACCGACCAGCCAGAUUGGGACUGAGACACGGCCCAAACUCCUACGGGAGGCAGCAGUGGGGAAUCUUGCACAAUGGGCGAAAGCCUGAUGCAGCGACGCCGCGUGCGGGAUGAAGGCCUUCGGGUUGUAAACCGCUUUCAGUGGGGACGAGGCCGCGAGGUGACGGUACCCACAGAAGAAGCCCCGGCUAACUACGUGCCAGCAGCCGCGGUAAUACGUAGGGGGCAAGCGUUAUCCGGAUUCAUUGGGCGUAAAGCGCUCGUAGGCGGUCCGUUAGGUCGGGAGUUAAAUCCGGGGGCUCAACCCCCGCCCGCUCCCGAUACCGGCGGACUUGAGUUUGGUAGGGGAAAGUGGAAUUCCCAGUGUAGCGGUGGAAUGCGCAGAUAUUGGGAAGAACACCAGUGGCGAAGGCGGCUUUCUGGGCCACAACUGACGCUGAGGAGCGAAAGCUAGGGGAGCGAACAGGAUUAGAUAC
This 580-nucleotide ribosomal RNA is filed under the name uncultured rumen bacterium. RNAcentral's name for it is "bacterial SSU rRNA". It matches the Rfam family "Bacterial small subunit ribosomal RNA", at positions 191 to 785 of the family's 1533-position model. The record is from RNAcentral.